GGGCCCGUAGCUCAGGGGUUUAGAGCGGCGGAUUUUUAACCCGUCGGGCGUCGGUUCGAAUCCGACCGGGCUCU
RNAcentral lists this transfer RNA (74 nucleotides) under Myxococcales bacterium. RNAcentral's name for it is "tRNA-Lys". It matches the Rfam family "tRNA". Rfam says of the family: Transfer RNA (tRNA) molecules are approximately 80 nucleotides in length. The record is from RNAcentral. Lineage: Bacteria; Pseudomonadati; Myxococcota; Myxococcia; Myxococcales.